RNAcentral lists this long non-coding RNA (1780 nucleotides) under Homo sapiens (human). Its description in RNAcentral is "SYNPO2L antisense RNA 1, transcript variant 2 (SYNPO2L-AS1)". The record is from RNAcentral. Lineage: Eukaryota; Metazoa; Chordata; Mammalia; Primates; Hominidae.
AGUUGCUAAAGCCAGGCCAGUGAGACAUAGAGCUGAGACAGGCAAUGGGAGCCCUGGAUUAGGGGAAGAGAAGAGGAGAGAGGUCCAUACCGCUGCACAGUGAGGACAAGCUGAUUUCCUGAGGCAUCGAUGAGGCUCAUGGCACUGGCAUGGGAGAGGUUGGUGCAAGAGACCCCAUUGAUUGCCAAGAGCUGGUCCCUCUCUCGGAGUCCUGCUCUGCCAGCCUGGCUCCGUCUUCGAAUCUGAGAUGUUGAAGGAGACACUGUAGACUGAGGAGGAGGAGAAGGAGGAGGAGGAGGAAAAAGCCCAUCAUCAACACACACAUCAAACUCAACUUCAGAGAAAUUAGGAAGCUGGGAAGCCAUGUAAACCAAAAGCAGGAGACACCAGCAGAACCAACGCAGGAAGCCAGGGAAGUGCAGAAGAACAGGGCAGGGGGCAACCCAGGGGGGAAUCUUCACUGUUGCCAGCAACACACACUCCCAGCAGGAGAGGACCCUCAGAGUGAGAACGCAGAGCUGGAGAAGUGAAGAAGGAGCAGGUGGUGCCCGGGGAAGUCCAGGGGUGUGGGAUCUGAGAGCACCCCUUCCCAAGAGAGGAAGGAACACUUGGGAAGGCAGGGCUGAGUCCCUGGAGGCUGUAUCCGGGAAAGGAGGAUGGCAGUAGAAUCUUCCUGAAGCCGAGUGGGUUCUGAGAGGCAGAGGGGCAGUGGUACAGAGGUGAGGCUGACACUUCUGUGCAGGAAGGGCAGGCUCCUGAGGAAGGGAGCCCCGAAUGCUCUCCACUAGAUUCCCAGGGAGCCCCACUCCCUCCACAGGGACCUCGCGCUGACAUCUGGGAAAUGCCAUUCAUACUGGAACCUCCGACACACUGCCAUGAAUGUGAGGGUUUCGUGACUGAUGGGGAGACUGCAGUCAAAUAAAACAGAUACUACACGCACUCGUCGGGGCAGCCGUACUGCAGAAGCACGUUGAUGCACUCCUGGCUGGAGGCCUGCCGGGCGUAGGUCAGCGCUGUGUUCCCGUGGGCAUCUCGGGCCAUGACGUCCACCCCGUACCAGAUCAGGAGCUGUGCCAGGACCACAUUCCCCUUGCGGCAGGCCAGAUGGAGCGCCGUGCAGCCGUCUCCCUCCCCACAGGUCUCGUUCACCUCCUCACGGGAGCCAUGUGCCAGCAGCAGGAUGGCUGUCUGCAGGUCCUCAUCAGCGGUGGCCCGCAGCAGGUGCUGGCCCAGGGACAGCUCAGUGCAGGGUAGUGGGGCCAGAAAGAGCUUCUCCUCAUAUUUGGAACGGAUCCACCGUUCCUUCUCUUCCCUCGUGGACUUUACUGAGGGUUUUGUCUGCCCCUGGCUGCUCCCUUCCCAGAUGCUGUUGGCUAGGUCAUUGCCAAUAGAUGACAUAACCUUCCUGAGCUCAACUGGCCAGUCAUCCAGCUCCAGAGAUCGCACACGGGAAAGGCGGGUGCCAAGACUGCGGUGGAUUCCUGAGCAUUCAAUACACAUGAGGACUCCCAAGUUCAAACUGGCCCACUUAGGAUUCUGGGUCUCAUAGUCCACACAGUGGGCGUUCCCACGCAUGUUUUGGAUCGACUGCAGGGCCAUGGCCUCGCUCUGGCUGGUCAGCUGGGACUUGCUUUUACUGCUCUCGCAUGACUGCAGGCUGGCCAGGAUCUGGCUCUGGAUGGCUUGGACCCAGGCAUCCCGCUCCUCAUACGUCGUGGCUUCAAAGUGCCAUGUUUGGCCAGUGGCAGACACAAUCAUAAAGUUGUUGGUGCUUUUCUUC